This 387-nucleotide RNase P RNA is filed under the name Gemmatimonadota bacterium. RNAcentral describes it as "Gemmatimonadetes bacterium (activated sludge metagenome) RNase P RNA component class A". It matches the Rfam family "Bacterial RNase P class A". Rfam says of the family: Ribonuclease P (RNase P) is a ubiquitous endoribonuclease, found in archaea, bacteria and eukarya as well as chloroplasts and mitochondria. Its best characterised activity is the generation of mature 5'-ends of tRNAs by cleaving the 5'-leader elements of precursor-tRNAs. Cellular RNase Ps are ribonucleoproteins. Lineage: Bacteria; Pseudomonadati; Gemmatimonadota. The record is from RNAcentral. RNAcentral also lists the same sequence under 1 other name.
UGGGUUGGACGCGACGAUCGCGCCCGGGGCGACCCGGUCGAGGAAAGUCCGAGCUCCACAGGGCAGACCGCCAGGCAACACCUGGGCGCCGCGAGGCGAUGGACAGGGCAACAGAGAACAGACCGCCGAUGGCCCGCGGGCGUGCCCGGGGGAACAGGCAAGGGUGAAACGGUGGGGCAAGAGCCCACCGCCCCGACCGCAAGGAAGGGGGCACGGCAACCCCCGGUCGGAGCAAGGUCAAGCAGCGACGAGGUGCGGCCCGCACCGCUCGAGUCGCGGGUAGACCGCUGGAGGUGGCCGGUGACGGCCACCCGAGAGAGAUGAUCGUCACCCGAUCCCCGCGAGGGGCGAGGGCAACAGGACUCGGCUUACGGUUCGACCCACACC